RNAcentral lists this transfer RNA (85 nucleotides) under Robiginitomaculum sp. Its description in RNAcentral is "tRNA-Tyr". It matches the Rfam family "tRNA". From Rfam's summary of the family: Transfer RNA (tRNA) molecules are approximately 80 nucleotides in length. Their secondary structure includes four short double-helical elements and three loops (D, anti-codon, and T loops). Lineage: Bacteria; Pseudomonadati; Pseudomonadota; Alphaproteobacteria; Maricaulales; Robiginitomaculaceae. The record is from RNAcentral.
GUGUCGUUAGCCAAGUGGCCGAGGCAGGGGAUUGUAAAUCCCUAGGGGAAACCCCACGGUGGUUCGAAUCCAUCACGGCAUACCA